UGCCUGGCAACAGUGGGUGGUGGUAUGU
RNAcentral lists this non-coding RNA (28 nucleotides) under Homo sapiens (human). Lineage: Eukaryota; Metazoa; Chordata; Mammalia; Primates; Hominidae. The record is from RNAcentral.